RNAcentral lists this long non-coding RNA (8239 nucleotides) under Triticum aestivum (bread wheat). RNAcentral's name for it is "long non-coding RNA (TAES_LNC012332)". The record is from RNAcentral. Lineage: Eukaryota; Viridiplantae; Streptophyta; Magnoliopsida; Poales; Poaceae.
UGUUUUUUGUUUUUGUUCCUGUUUAGUAAUAAAUUUUGCAUCUACUUUCUUUUUAGAUGUGUUUUCAUGAUUUAAUUAGUGUUUGUGCCAAGUAGAACCUAUAGGAUAACCUAUGAUGAUAGUUGACUUGAUUCUGCUGAAAAAUAGAAACUUUGCACUCACGAGAAAAAAUUAAAUAAAUCACAGAAACAUGCUUUUGCAUUGAUUCUUUUUGUUUCUGAUCAAUAAACAAAUUUUCCAGGACUUCCUAGUUUGGUAGGAUUUUUAGAGUUCCAAAAGUUUGCGUUAGUUACAGAUUGCUACAGACUGUUCUGUUUUUGACAGAUUCUGUUUUUUGUGUGUUGUUUGCUUAUUUUGAUGCAUCUAUGGCUAGUAUUAAGUGGUAUGAACCAUAGAGAACUUGGAAUACAGUAGGUUUAACACCAAAAUAAAUAAAGAAUGAGUUCAUUGCAGUACCUUAUGUGGUGGUUUUGUUUUCUUUCACUAACGGAGCUUAUAAGAUUUCCUGUUGAGUUUUGUGUUGUGAAGUUUUCAAGUUUUGGGUAAAGCUUUGAUGGACUAUGGAAUAAGGAGUGGCAAGUGCCUAAGCUUGGGGAUGCCCAAGGUACCCCCAGAUAUUCAAAGAUAGCCAAAAUCCUAAGCUUGGGGAUGCCCCGGGAAGGCAUCCCCUCUUUCGUCUUCGUUCAUUGGUAACUUUACUUGGAGCUAUAUUUUUAUUUGCCACAUGAUAUGUGUUUUGCUUGGAGCGUCGUGUAUUAUAUUAGUAUUUGAUUUUUAGUUUACCACAAUCAUCCUUGUUGUACACACCUUUUGGGAGAAGCCUGCUUGGUUAGAAUUUAUUAAAACAUGCUAUGUGCUUCACUUAUAUCUUUUGAGCUAUAUAGUUUUUGCUCUAGUGCUUCACUUAUAUCUUUUAGAUCACGGCGAUGUCUUAAUUUUAUAGAAAUUGCUAGUCUCUCAUGCUUCACUUAUAUUAUUUUGAGAUUCUCUUAGAACAACAUGGUAUUUGCUAUGGUUAUGAAUUUGGUCCUAGAAUGAUGAGCAUCCAAGUUGGGUAUAAUAUAAACUAUCAUAGAAAGUGCAUAAAACACUAGGAUCAGUUUGAUGCUUUAUAAUUGUUUUGAGAUAUAAAGGUAGUAAUGUUAGAGUCAUGCUAGUGGGUAAUUAUGAAAUUGAGAAAUACUUUUGUUGAAGUUGGCAAGUCCCGUAGCAUACACGUAUGGUAAAAGUUGUGUGACAAAUUUGUUGCAUGAGGUGCUCUUUUGAGUGUCUUCCUUAUGAGUGGCAGUCGGGGACGAGCGAUGGCCUUUUCCUACCAAUCUAUCCCUCUAGGGGCAUGCAUAGUAGUACUUUGCUUCGAGGGCUAAGUAGACUUUUGCAAUAAGUAUAUGAGUUCUUUAUGACUAAUGUGAGUCCAUGGAUAUAUGCACACUCAUCCUUCCACUUUGCUAGCCUCUAUUAUACCGCGCAACUUUCGCGGUAGCAUGCACCCAUUAUUUACCUUCCUCAAAACAGCCAUCAUACCUACCUAUUAUGGCAUUUCCAUAGCCAUUCCGACAUAUAUUGUCAUGCAACUUUCCACCGUUCCAUUUAUUAUGACACGCUCCAUCAUUGUCAUAUUGCUCUUUGCAUGAUCAUGUAGUUGACAUCGUAUUUGUGGCAAAGAAACCUUCAUAAUUUUUUAUACAUGUCACUCUUGAUUCAUUGCAUAUCCCGGUACACCGCCGGAGGCAUUCAUAUAGAGUCAUAUCUUGUUCUAGCUUUGAGUUGUAAAUCAAUAAAAGUGUGAUGAUUUUCAUUAUUAGAGCAUUGUCCCAGUGAGGAAAGGAUGAUGAAGACUAUGAUUCCCCCACAACUCGGGAUGAGACUUCGGACUUUACAAAGAAAAAAAGAAAAAAAAAAGAGAAAGGCCAAAAAGAAGAAGAAAGGCCAAAGAAAAAAAAAGAAAAAAAUGAGAGAAAAAGAGAGAAGGGACAAUUGCUACUAUCUCUUUUCCACACUUGUGCUUCAAAGUAGCACCAUGAUCUUCAUGAUAGAGAGUCUCCUAUGUUGUCACUUUCAUAUACUAGUGGGAAUUUUUCAUUAUAGAACUUGGCUUCUAUAUUCCAAUGAUGGGCUUCCUCAAAAUGCCCUAAGUCUUCGUGAGCAAGCGAGUUGGAUGCACACUCACUUAGUUUCUUUUGUUGAGCUUUAAUAUAUUUAUAUCUCUAGUGCAUCCGUUGCAUGGCAAUCCCUACUCACUCACAUUGAUAUCUAUUAAUGGGCAUCUCCAUAGCCCGUUAAUAGCCUAGUUGAUGUGAGACUAUCUUCUCCCUUUUUGUCCUUACAACCACCACCAUAGUGCUAUGUCCAUGGCUUGCGCUCAUGUAUUGCGUAAGAGUUGAAAAAAGCUAAAGCGCGUUAAAAAGUAUGAACCAAUUGCUCGACUCAUCAUCGGGGUUGUACAUGAUGGGAGUAUUUUGUGUAAUGAAAAUGAAGCAUGGCCUAACUAUAUGAUUUUGUAGGGAUAAGCUUUCUUUGGCUAUGCUAUUUUGAUAGGACAUGAUUAUUUGUUAGUAUGCUUCAAAGUAUUAUUAUUUUUAUGUUUUAUAAUCUUUUAUCUUGAAUCAUUUGGAUCAGAACAAUCAUGCCACAGUAAAGAAAAUUACAUUGAGAAUUAUGCUAGGUAGCAUUCCACAUCAAAAAUUCUGUUUUUAACAUUUACCUACUCAAGGACGAGCAGGAAUUAAGCUUGGGGAUGCUUGAUACGUCUCCAACGUAUAUAUAAUUUUUCAUUGUUCCAUGCCAUUAUAUUACCCCUUUUGGAUGUUUAUGGGCUUUAUUUUACACAUUUAUAUCAUUUUUGGGACUAACCUACUAACCGGAGGCCCAGCCCGUAUUGCUGUUUUUUUGCCUAUUUUAGUAUUUCAAAGAAAAGGAUUAUCAAACGGAGUCCAAACGGAAUGAAACCUUUGGGAGCGUGAUUUUUGGAAUGAACGUGAUCCGGAGAACUUGGAGUGCAAGUCAAGAAACAAACGAGGUGGCCAGGAGAUAGGAGGGCGCACCCACCCCUCCUGGGCGCGCCCCCUGUCUCCUGGGCCCCUCGAGCGGCCAUCGCCGUACUUCUUCCUCGUAUAUAUACCUAUGUACCCCGAAAACAUCCAGGCAGCUACCGAAACACAAUUUCCACCGUUGUAACCUUUUGUAUCCGUGAGAUCCCAUCUUGGAGCCUUCAUCGGCGCUCCGCCGGAGGGGGAAUCGACCACGGAGGGCUUUUACAUCAACACCCUAGCCCCUCCGACGAGUUGUGAGUAGUUUACCACAGCCCUCCGGGUCCGUUCUCCCCCUCUCUUGUGGAGAUCUAUUCGAUGUAAACUCUUUUUGCGGUGUUUUUGUCGAGAUCCGAUGAAUUGUGGGUUUAUGAUCAAGUUUAUCUAUGAGAAAUAUUCGAAUCUUCUCUGAAUUCUUUUAUGUAUGAUUGAGUUAUCUUUGCAAGUCUCUUCGAAUUAUCAGUUUGGUUUGGCCUACUAGAUUGAUCUUUCUUGCCAUGGGAGAAGUGCUUAGCUUUGGGUUCAAUCUUGCGGUGUCCUUACCCAGUGACAGAAAGGGUUGCAAGGCACGCAUUGUAUUGUUGCCAUCGAGGAUAAAAAGAUGGGGUAUAUAUCAUAUUGCAUGAGUUUAUCCCUCUACAUCAUGUCAUCUUUCUUAAAGCGUUACUCUAUUCUUAUGAACUUAAUACUCUAGAUGCAUGCUGGAUAGCAGUCGAUGUGUGGAGUAAUAGUAGUAGAUGCAGGCAGGAGUCGGUCUACUUGUCGCGGAUGUGAUGCCUAUAUACAUGAUCAUGCCUAGAUAAUCUCAUAAUUAUUUGCUUUUCUAUCAAUUGCUCGACAGUAAUUUGUUCACCCACCGUAAUACUUAUGCUAUCUUGAGAGAAGCCUCUAGUGAAACCUAUGGCCCCCGGGUCUAUCUUUUAUCAUAUAAGCUUUCAAUCUACUUUUAUUUGCAUCUUUACUUUUUGCAUCUAUAUUAUAAAAUACCAAAAAUAUAUUUAUCUUAUCAUACUAUCUCUAUCAGAUCUCACUUUUGCAAGUGGCCGUGAAGGUAUUGACAACCCCUUUAUUGCGUUGGUUGCGAGUUCUUUGUUUGUUUGUGUAGGUGCGUGGGACUUUUGAGGAGCCUCCUACUGGAUUGAUACCUUGGUUCUCAAAAACUGAGGGAAAUACUUACGCUACUAUUACUGCAUCACCCUUUCCUCUUCAAGGAAAACCAACGCAAGCUCAAGACGUAGCAGACAACAGAGCAAGAGGAGCAUCUAAAGGUGUAUUCACGAAAGCGAGGUGAGGGUGUUGCACAUCAGGGGGAGCAACAAGAUCUGCCAUUGAUGGAACAACAAGGUAGUAAUGAUGUUAUUUCCAUCUCUUCUGACAGGAAUAAAGAUGAAGGGCCAGUGGCCUUAAGGAGAACUACUCGAGCAACAGCAGGGAUACCGGAGAAACGGUAUGGAUUCAAUGACAAUGAUAUUGGAAAUUAUGUAUCCUAUGAAGCAUUAUCUCCAGCCCACAAAGCAUUUGUUGCUUCUCUUUAGUCUGUGUCAGUUCCGACUACUUGGAAGAAGGCAAAGGAGGAUUCAAAGUGGUGAGUGGCCAUGGUGGAAGAGCUGGAGGCUCUAUGUAAGAACAAGACAUGGGUACUAACACCCCUUCCAAAAGGAAAGAAGGCAGUUAGCUGCAAGUGGGCAUACACUGUGAAGCAGAAUGCAGAAGGAAAGGUAGAAAGGUACAAAGCAAGGCUUGUGGCGAGGGGGUACAGUCAGACAUAUGGCAUUGACUACGAUGAGACCUUUGCUAGCAAAGAUGAACACCGUGAGGAUUCUGAUCUCCAGUGCAGCAAAUUUUGGGUGGCCUUUACACCAACUUGAUGUGAAGAAUGCCUUCUUGCAUGGGGACUUGAGGGAGGAGGUAUACAUGGAUAUUCCACCUGGGUUCUCGACUUCGGAGACUACUGUCAAGGUAUGCAGGCUAAAGAAAGCUCUUUAUGGACUGAAACAGUCUCCAAGAGCUUGGUUUACAAGUUUAGACGGGUUGUGUGUGACAUGGGGUAUGGACAAUGCAAUGGUGACCAUACAUUGUUUUAUAGACACUCUAAAGGAAAAAUGACCAUCCUUGCAGUUUAUGUUGAUGAUAUCAUUAUCACCGGCGAUGAUGAUGUAGAGAUAGCAAGAUUAAAGGGGUGUCUGAGUAAUGCAUUCAACGUUAAAGAUCUUGGUCGACUCAAGUACUUCCUUGGUAUAGAAGUGGCAAGGUCUGGAAAAGGAAUAGCUCUUUCUCAAAGAAAGUAUACCCUGGAUCUCCUCUGUGAUGUCGGCAUGUUGGGUUGUCGAGUUGCUUCAACCCCAAUUGAUCAAAAUCAUAAAGUGACUACCCAAUCAGGUGAUCUGGUGGAAAAAGAAAAAUAUCAGCAAUUGGUGGGAAGAUUGUUGUACUUGUGUCAUACACGACCAGACAUUGCAUUUGCAGUAAGUGUUGUGAGCAGAUAUAUGCAUGAGCCUAGAAGUGAACAUCUACAGGCAGUAUAUAGAAUCCUGAGAUACUUGAAGGGUUCUCCUGGGAAGGGAUUGAUAUAUAAAAGUUAUGGACAUCUUGUUGUGGAUGGUUAUUGUGAUGCUGAUUGGGCUAGUUGCCUGGAUGAUAGGAGAUCAACUUCAGGUCAUUGUGUCUUCAUAGGAGGGAAUUUAGUGUCUUGGAGAAGCAAGAAACAACCCGUUGUUUCCAAAUCAACCGUAGAGGUUGAAUACAGAUCCAUGUCUCAGGGACUGAAUGAGUUGUUAUGGACAAGAAACCUAUUAGAAGAGCUGAAGAUAUUGAAGACCAGUUGUAUGAAUGUAUGGUGCGACAACAAGUCGGCAAUUAACAUAGCAAACAACCCAGUUCAACAUGAUAGAACCAAACAUGUGAAGAUUGAUAGAUUUUUUAUCAAAGAAAAACUGGAUGCUGGGAUUAUCAAGAUAGAGUUUGUGAGUUCAGGACAACAAAUUGCAGAUUGCUUGACUAAAGGACUAGGAACUAGAGAAUGCAGUUCAGCGUGUGAUAAGAUGGGAAUGAUAGAUAUCUACCACCCAUCUUGAGGGGGAGUGUUGACCGGUAUGGGGGCCUGGCCCAUCCCACUAUUGGCAUAGGGCCCAAGCCCAUGUGUAUUUGACCUAGAUGAGAGCACCAGACACUUGUCUGGAGAGGUGCGUGAGGCAUACACGAGAGAAGUCUCAGCCGCCACUCGCCUAUACACACAGGUAUUGUCCUGAUUCAACACAUGUAAAUCAAUUUCUGGCAUACGCUGGUAAGUGAUUCCCCAGUGCAUUAUUCAUAGAUGAUUAGGUUUUGGAGCAUAGAAAAGUUUUUGCUUUUCCCCUUUAACUGUGCCUUAAAUUUUGGCCUUCUGCAUCUACCAAAACAAAUAAACACAAAUAGUACUUGAUUAUUACAUAUUUUAUCAAUCUACAACAUCAAAUUAAACACAUUGUUUAUCAAACAUAACACAAUGUUCAUCACGCAUGAUCUUGUCACUUAUGGGCUAGCUAGUAGGGCGAGGGUUGAUCCUUCAGGUGCGUAGAUGAACAUAAAGUUAGCCAUGACGGCGUUUCCUAAAAAAGGGUGUUCAUCACACAUGACAUGAUAUAGAGGUAGAACUAGUUGUCUUGUUGCUCAUUCCAUGUUCACCACUCCUGGUGAGAUCUCGUUGAAGAUUUUCAUGAGUAUCCCCAUCUAGCUUUCUCCUACGAAUCACCCAGGGUCAACAAUGGAACUGCCAUGCUUCGGCCGUUUGUUCUUCUCUAUGUGAAGAACCAUGAGCACCACAAUGUCCUCAUCUUCCUCGAACUGAUAUUCCUCUUCGGAGGAGGAACCAUUCCACAAAGAGGAUUCAAGCGAACUCAUCUACACAACACGGUUCAUCACAAACAACUCCUAUGUUGAAACAAAAAAAGACAGAAAAAUAACUUGUAGGAAUUUCCUCAAACCCCUAGGUGGUGAGCUCAAUUCCUAUCGGUAUAGUUCGUAAUGGCGCCUUGAUCUUCUAUGGCCGGGGGGGAGUCGGGGAAAGCACUCAACAGAAAUCAACUGCGGUGGUGUUGCAACGACCGUAUCGGGCGACGAUGGGGAACACCUGGAAUCGAGUGGCGUCUAUCUUGGGGUUGCAGCGGACACAUCGACCAGCGGGAACAGGCGGCGAGGGGGGCGACGGAGACACGGUGGCAAGAAUUGGCCGGAGGGUGGCAACGGUGAAGUUUCAGCCAGUGCGAUUGGGUUCGCGCGUUCGGCUAGGAAAUUUCAGCGAUUGAGUUUUUCUGGCAGACCUGCUGUAGCAGCUUUUUCUAUUUUGCGACAUCCGCUAGAGGUAUUGCAACACUUGUAGCAAAUUUUAGGGCUUCAUGAUAUUUUUUUUCCAGUUUUGCUAAAAGUAUUGCACAUCUAAGUCCUAUGGCAUUAAUUUUACACUAAGAUCUGUGCAAGCAUUUCUUUUGUCUUUUUCCUUUUCAUUCUGGAUUGAUUAAGUCACUUAGAUGUGCGGUAACUAACGUUUUUUCCUCUUCAAAGUGCCCCAAAUGGCGGUUUUUGGGCACGGCAGCUAUUUUACAUGUUCUGUUGGGGAUGAUCUAACAAGAAGGGUUAAAAGAAGCAUGAGACUUAAAAUAAUAUCACUGGAUUUUUUAAAUACAAAUUCAAUGGUAUAACACAUGUCCCAUAUAUUUCGCUGGUCAAACUUGAGCAUGAGUUAUAAACUGGUGCGGAGGAAGUAUCAAUCAAUUUAAAAGAAAGUACUCAGAACACUUGGAAGUAUAUUAAACAUGGUCUUUAAACAGAGAUAAAGUGCAAUCAGCUUAUAAGUGCAGAGAUACUCAGUUUAUCUCUGAAGACAACACAAUCAUCCAUUGUUUCAGAGCACACCCACGCGAAAUUGACGAGCUACAUGCAUAGGUCCAGCACACUGGAGCACUUGCGGACCUUAAUUAACCAGGGCCGACCUUCGGGAUAUCAUAGUGCUCACUAAGAUUUGCGAGGUACUGGUUGAAGUCCUGGAUGCGGUCCCUGUGCGACUUGUCAGCCACCUUGGCCAACUUGUGUACGUCGAUCUUCUGCUUCUGUUCAAUGUAACGCCUCUCAGCUGGAGUGAGGUGAUCAUAAUCGGCUUGCGCACUCCCUUCCUCUCCCAGCUUGUCAGCUUCACUGAACUCAUUGUCAGGGUCACCUGGCAAUUCAGAGCUUCC